GACAUCGAUACAAAAUACGAUAGUAGUAGGCUCAUCAUACAUAUAACCAAAGAUUCAUCAGCUCAAAGUCAUCCAACUAGUAGUAAGCUGAUAAAUCGAGGCCAUCGAGGUAAGAUGCACGAAAUGGACGACGACGACGACGAAUAGACUUCUUGUUGGCCUCCCAAUACUCACGCAUAUUCUCCUUAACCGGAUACACGAUUAGCUCACGUACGGUCAUCGGCUGGAUGACGUUAGGAUCGGCUCCAUAGAGAAGAUGAGCAAUUUCCUCUUGCGCCUUCUCUGUGUUGUGACGUCCAUCGAAGAAGAAGUAAGAUCUUUGGUACUCACAUAGCUUCGAGUGCACGUUUCCCAUCCCGCAACCGUAAGCAUUAUGCGUCCCUACCCCGCAACACGAUGUGUUCGCCACAUAAAACCCUAUAGAUCAACAUGAAUCAUUUAGAUUAUAUUAUAUCUUCACGCGCGUUCGAUUAUCCUUGUGGCUUUUAUCAGAUCUUUGGUAUCUUUAAUCUGUUUUUUUGUUUGCAUUGUACUUAAUAAACGUUUAAUAAUAUGAUAAGAUCGCUGAAAAAUUCUCAAUGUACUAAACAACAUGCAACAAUUAAUUAGUUAGUGAAUAUUUUUUUUUGCUAAAUAGUGAAUAUUAUGGUGAUGACGAUGACUUACGGUAGUGAAUACUCCUGCCAGACGCAAUCCUACGCAAAACGGCGUUGUAGAAAUCGAAGACGGUGAACUGAAAACCACUGUUGGGUUUUUUAGCAAACUCGUUCAACAUCGGACCGAUCUUCUCGUUGUGUAGUUUAGCCAAAUCGUUGAGUGGCUCGUAACAUUCGUUGCCGGUUUUGUAUUCUUGUCUGGAGAUCGGUAGACAACCCAAUGGUGCUAGUAAUGGAACCACGAAUUUACUCGCUCCCAGGGAGUAUAACAACUGUAAAAAUAAACAUAAAUAUAUUUUAUAUAUAUAUGUAAGCCAAAACAUACAUAAAUAGUAAGUCAAAUGAACAUAUUAGUUAAUGUACAAAUACGCAUAAUAUACUGUUUGUUGACAACUUACGCCAAUGUCGUUCUUCAAUCGGUUAGUGACAGAAGUGACAAAAGCUUGCUGAGCAGAAGUGUCUGCUUUUGGAUUGGUCUUGGUGAAGUUUAAAUAAUCUUCAGUACCAAUAUAUAUCAUAAACACUGAUUUCUCGAUGUAGUCGUCUGUCCAUUUUGAUAUCAUACUUUUAAAUUUGUUCACUUGUUGAUUCAGUGUCAUCUGUAUAUACAUCAAAAAAAAAAAAUUGGUAAACAUGUUAAGAUUACAUAGACAAGUAAUUUAAAAAAUAAAUCAAUUAAACUUUUCUUAUUAAUAACUAUUAUUAAAAGAAAACAUUUAUUUUCGAUUUUUUUUAAAGCUGUAUAUUUCUGAAUGAUUCUUUCUUAUUCUUUCCCCAAAAGGGACAUCGUUUAAGCUGUAUAUGUACUUCAGGUAUUAUUAUACCUAAAAAGUCUCUCUUUUGUAGAAAAUCCAAUGUUUUCUUUUUUUUUUUAGCGAAAGCAGACUUACAGAUUCCACCGGAGCCCCAAGAAUAGAAGCAUCGGCGACGGCAAAACUAGCUCCACGUGAAAGAUCAACGUCCGGUUUAAGAGCCGGUGGGAUUCCGUUCGGAAUGGACAUGAAGUCACCUAUACAAUAACCAUGAGAUCGAUUAGUUAUUAUCUUGUGUCUUAAUAAGCUACACUAUAUAUCGUUAAUUAGAUUAUUAAUAAAGAGCGCACCAAUAAAAUCGGGGACGAUCCGGCCAUCGGAAAAUUUGCCGUCCGGGUAGUCGAUGGAUUUGCCGUAAGGCCACAAGUUUUGUGGAAGAUUUCUAUUUUUUUUAAGUAGAAACACUUUGUUUCCGGCGUCGUAGUAGGAGUCACCAAAAGCGAACAACGCUACAUUCGGAACACCUUCGCCGGCGUAGACAAUGAUCGGAUCAUGGAAGAUGGUCAAUACCAAUAAUGCUCCCAAAACACUCACUAAAUUACACUUGCCUGCCAUUUCUCAAAGGUAUUAUGCGAGAGAGAGAGAGGAGAGGAGAGGAUUAAUGGACGGGUGGUGAACUUUCACGCUCUCCACUGGUCUUAUUUAUACUGCCAAUAUAAUAUAGUACUCGUUUUUCUUUCACUAAUAUAAUAUUUUUUUAAUAAUAUAUUAUUCAAAAGUAAUGUAAUCUGUAAAGAGAAAUCUUAUCUAUAUCGCAUCCCCUUACAAUUUCAGGCUCAAGACUCACGUAGCAUGAGGCCAUAUCCAUAACCGUUUCUAGAGAUACGAAGUCUCGAACUUUAAAAAAUGACACUCAUCAUAUUAAAUUCAUAUAAAAUCAAAAUUUAAAACAUAAUCCAAAAAAAAAUAAGAUAACAAAAUUUAAAACAUAACAUUUCUUCUCUUCUUUGUAACAAAUUCAUUAACCACGUUUUCAACACUUUUAACUAACUCUCUUUUGAUAGACAUAUAAUUUGAUAGACAUAUAAUGAAAAAUAUAUAUAAAUCUAUAAAGAGUUAGUUAUGCUAACAUUUUACUGAGAUUUUUUAGAAAAAAAGUUAAAACACAUCGCGUCAAUAAAUUAUCAUCAUUAAUCAUUACUUUAUUUUUUUAUUAAUUAAAUAUUAGAUUUAAUAUUUAACUAAAAUCUGUUGUUGCCUUUGGAUCUUCAAGUUUUUUUAUAAAAUUUGAGCUCGUAAGCCAAUGCUUCUUUUUCACUCACAUAGGCACGAACCUGACCAUAUAUCAACACUUUAGUACGAGAAGAUAUGAGGCCAUAUCAAAAAAAUAUUGUUUGCCCGAAAAUUGUUACUUUAUGAGAUUUUUAUCGACACUUUAGUACGACAAUCUAUGCGACCAUAUCAAGAAAAUUGUAACAUUUCAGAAAAUUAUUUUGUUCUAACGUAUAGAUUGGUCGUUAAAUUGCUUUCUUUCUUUUUUUUACGUACAUUAGUUAAAUUGCUUAAAAAGGCAUCUUAAAGCAAAAUUUUGGGUAAACUUAAUAAUAACGUAUUUACCUUAGAUACAAUUCUGUUUUAAGAGGUUGAGAUUGAAAAAAAAAGGAUUUCAGAUAUAAUAUAUAUAUAUAUAUAUAUAUAUAUAUAUAUAUAUAUUGGAAUUAGGUUUUCAUUUAAUAACGAGUUGUUGGAAAUAUUAAUAUCAGCAAAAGUUAUUCGGCUUAAAAAUAACCGUCUUAAAACUUUUGCCUCUCGUUAUUCAAGUUAGUACCAUAUCUAAUAUCCCUAAGUUAUUCGGCUCUAAACUGUUCUUCUUCGAUCCAUCUGCGAUUCUGCGCCCAGCAUGUUCUUCAUUGGGAAUCUCUGUCUUGUCGUCCAUCGUAAUUUGUCUCAUUCAAUUCUCCAUCAACAUGUUUUAUCUGGAAACGUUUUACCCCCGAUUUAAAUGGUCUCACCUAACAAUUGAUGAUAUUUGAUUAUUGUCACUUAGUAUUUAUUAACUCCCUGAAAUUUUUUGUCUUUCGCAAUACGGCGCUCAACUUUAGAAAUUAUCAGCUUCUUAUUUUAAUCUUUCGCAAUACGUCACUCAUCAACUUUAGAAAUUAUCAGCUUCUAUGUACUGAUCUGAUCUCAACGUAUUAGCAAACUCGAAAUGGAAUAUGAAAACUGCCAAUCGCAUAUAUUUGUAUAUCAACAAAACGAUUCAUAUAUACGCGCGACUUGUAUAUAGAUAUCCACAACAUAUUUUUUAAAAAGUGGGAAAUCUUUCAGGAACAGAUGAAAAACUCUAGUUUUUGUUAGCGUCCACUGUAGUAUACGUGGAAAAUGGAGACAAACUCUCUUGUCAGUUGUCACAGACCAUCCUCAACAACAGAGGUAUUCACGAACGCUAAAGAUAAUUGCAAAUGUGGCUAUUACCUUGAUUGAUUUAUCUGCAAAAUAGUGAUACUAAUUUUUGUUGAAAAUCAAAAGUAGAAUCAACAGUUGCAAUAUACAUAUAAUAUAUAUAUAUAUAUGUGUGUGUACUUAAUUUAUUUAUAUACAUGCAUAUAUACUCAUAAAUUUAUUUUAAAACAGUUUAUAUGUAUACUGUAGUCAAGAAUUAUUAUGUAUAUAAAAUAAAAUAUCUACACACCUAUACUAUGUAGCGCGUGAUGAACAAGCUAUAGAAAGACCUUUUUAUUAAUCUUCGUAGAUAUUACAAGAACACAUUCAACAGCAAUUAUUAAUAUAUAUAUUUUUUUCACUCAACAGCAAUUUAUUCGACGGCAUAAACCGAAUUACCAUGCACGACACCGAUACAUAGUGCAUUAGCAGAUACGUAGUAGUAGGCUCAUCAUACAUAUAACGAAAGAUUCAUCAGCUCAUCAAAUUCAUCCAACUAGUAGUAAGCUGAUAAAUCGAGGCCAUCGAGGUAAGAUGCACGAAAUGGACGACGACGGCGACGAGUAGAUAACUUGUUGGGUUCCCAAAACUCACGCAUAUUCUCCUUAGCCGGAAAGACGAUUAGCUCACGUACGGUCAUUGGCUGGAUCACGGUAGGAUUGGCUCCAUAGAGAAGAUUUGCAAGUUCCUCUUGCGCCUUCUCCGAGUUGUGACGUCCGUCGAAGAAGAAGUAAGAUCUUUGGUACUCACAUAGCUUCGAGUGCACGUUAACCAUUCCACAACCAUACGCAAAGUGAGUCCCUACCCCGCAACACGAUGAGUUCGUCACGUAAAACCCUACAGAUCAACGUGAAUAAAUUGAAGUUUAAUUAUAUGAUCUUCACGUACGGUUUACGUAUCGUUUGUUAUCUUAACUAGUGAUAAUAAUUUUUGUGUGUUUGUAAUAUGGUACUUAGUAAAAUAAUUGAUGAUAUAUAAUCAACGUAUCUUAGCAGAAAACUUUCCAUAAAAAUCAUUGUAUUUUUUGUGUUUGUAAUAUUGUACUAAGUAAAAAAAUUGAUAGUGAUAAUAAUCAUAUGCGGCCCUGAAUUUCUGAAACAAUAAGCAACACUUAAUUAGUUAGUGAAGAUUGAUUAUGAUGAUGAAGACAGCUUACGGUAGUUAAUACUCCUGCCUGACGCAAUCCUACGCAUAACGGCGUUGUAGUAAUCGAAGACGGUGAAGAGAAAACCGCUUUUGGGGAUUUUAGCAAACUCGUUCAACAUCGGACCGAUCUCCUUGUUGUGUAGUUUUGCCAAAUCGUUGAGUGGCUCGUAACAUUCGUUGCCGGUUUUGUAUUCUUGUCUGGCGAUCGGUAAGCAACCCAAAGGUGCUAGCAAUGGAACCACGAAUCUACUCGCUCCCAGGGAGUAUAAUAACUAUAAAAUAAAUGAAUAGUAUAUGUAAGCCAAAAACAUACAUAAAUAGUAAGUCAAAUUAAAUGAACAUAAUUAAUGUACAAAAACGCAUAAUAUACGGUUUGUUGACAACUUACGCUGAUGUCGUUCUUUAAUCGCUUAGUGACAGAAGUGACAAAAGCUUGCUGAGCAGAAGCGUCUGCUUUUGGAUAGGUCUUGGUGAAGUUUAGAUAAUCUUCAGUACCGAUGUAUAUCAUAAACACUGAUUUCUCGAUGUAGUCGUCGGUCCAUUUUGAUAUCAUACUUUUAAAUUUGUUCACUUGUUGAUUCAGUGUCAUCUGUAUAUACAUAUAGGAAAUUAAAAAACGACUUGAACUCUUCUUUUUGUAACUCUUAACGAAAGGAAACCUUAAUGUUAAAAAUCUUUAAAGCUAAUAUACUUCAUGUGUUAUUAAAAAGAUAAACAUAAAUAGUCUAUCUCUUUCUUUUAAUAGUAAAGGCAGACUUACAGAUUCCACCGGAGCUCCAAGAAUAGAAGCAUCGGCGACAGCAAAACUAGCUCCACGUGAAAAAUCAACAUCCGGUUUAAGAGCCGGUGGGAUUCCGUUCGGAAUGGACAUGAACUCACCUAUACAAAAGCCAUGAUUUAUUAUUAUCUAGUUUCUUAAUAUAAACUACGCUCCUUGUAUUUAUAUAUAUAUAUAUAUAUCUUUAGAAUAUUAAUAAAAGAGCGUACCGAUAAAAUCGGGGACGAUGCGGCCAUCGGAAAAUUUGCCGUUGGGGUAGUCGGUGGAUUUGCCGUAAGGCCACAAGUUUUGUGGAAGAUUUCUUUUUUUGUUUAGUAGAAACACUUUGUUUCCGGCGUCGUAGUAGGAGUCACCAAAAGUGAACAACGCUACAUUCGGAACACCUUCACCGGCGUAGACGACGGUCGGAUCAUGGAAGAUGCUCAAUACCAAUAGUGCCCCCACAACACUCAUCAAAUUACACUUGCUUGCCAUCUCUCAAGUAUGAGUUAUGCCAGCGAGAGAGAGGAGAGGAUUGGAUGAAACUUUCAGACUCUCCACUCGUCAUAUUUAUAGUGCCAAAAUGAUCAUAAUAUUCACCGUUAUGUAAACUUUCUUUUUACUGGCCACAUAAAAAGAUUAAAAACAUAAUAGUGGGGCAAUCAACAAAUUAAUUAAAAAAAAAAAUCUUAUUGAUAUCUUAUCUUACGAUAUGAGGGAGGCUCAAGACUCACGUGGCAUAUUAUCUUAAUGUUUGGAUGCGAAAACAUGUGUGCACGAAAUUUAAUUAUUGUACGAGAUUCUUAUCGUCAUUCUAGUAGCACAAGAUACGAGGACAUAUAUAUUACGAAAAUAGUAACAUAUCACGAAAAUAGUAACAUUUCAGACAAAUAAGGGGACUCCUCUCCAUUGAAUAUCAUCAAAGCGAGAGCGUAAUGUACCGAUCUUCACAACAACCUCCUCUCCUUUGAAUAUCAUCAAGGCUUUGGUGGAUCGGAGUAUGCAAAACAGACUUAUAUCCUUCCCUCCAAAAGAUCGUAAUUCUUUUUUUCUCCUUGAAUUUUAAUUUGGUUGUAUUUCUCAUCUGAUUUAAUAUUGAUUUUGCUUGGUUCCAAUUUUGGGUAAGCUGUAAGGGUGCUUUUCCGUUUUAGUAUGUAACUGUAACCGUUUCUUUCUAGUAUCAAAUCUUAACAUUAAACCCAAAAAAUAAUAGGACGCCAAAUUUUUGUUCUUUUUUUUUUUUUUUGAGAGCUUCUUAUUCAUCUUCUUAACCAAAAGGAUUCUAACGUGUAGAUUUGAUCAUUAGAUUACUUUAAAAGCCAUCUUAAAGCAAUUUUUGGGGGUAAGCGUUUUUCCUUUAGAAUAGCUUAUUUUUCUUUCAUAGUUAGUUACAUCUCCAGUAUACAGAGGAUUUGAAAUUCGCACAAAACUUACAAAAAAAAAAAUAAAGAGGGAUUUAUACACACACGUAUAUAUAUAUAUAUAUAUAUAUUAUUUUUUAGUUGAAUUCUCGAAAUUAGCUUUUAUAAAUAUAUAACGAGUUGAUUAAAAAAAAAAAAUCAGCAAGAGUUGUGCGGUUAAAAUUAAGCGUCGGCUUCAGCAUGAAACAUGUUUUUCUCGUUGGAUUAGGUAGUCAUGUUAGUACCAUAUCUCAUAUCCCUAGGGACCUUCCUUCAAACACCAUAUAGUGUGAUGGAUACCCAAAACAAGACAAAAGAAAAUUUAAAAUUGAGUAAUGACAUAUCACCCACUAAAAACCAAAAACCAAAACCAUACACCGAUUGGCUUAAAUCCCGUUAGAACACCUCCAUUAGAGAUUUUUAAUCCAUUUGUGGCUCAGUUUCGUAAAUAAAAAAAUUAAAAAAAAUUGUAAAAACUUAUUUUCUUAAGGAGAACUCUUUAGAUAAGGAGCUGAAGAGACCAUCUUUUAACACAUGUGGCAAGCGCUUACUGGACGUUUAAUAACUUUUUUUUUUAAUUUUGUGUAAUUAAUUUUAGCUUUUUAUCUCUAAAAAAACAUUAAACUAUUCAUAUGAAACCCAACAUAAAUAACAUUAAUGGAGAUGCUCUUAUCCCUUUAAACUUCAUUUAGAUGUGAAAUUUUAAUACGUCCCUCAUGAUGAUGACUCAACUCGAUGACUCAACUCGAACCGAAUCUCACUUUAAAAUUAAUAAUAAACUUUUUAUGGAUCAACAAACAAAUCUCUAAUAUCAUUCUGAUAUCAUAUUAAAUUUUAUAGGUUUCCAACUCAAAACUAGUUAAUAAUAAAUAAAUUAACCUGAAUUUUUUAUAUACAAUAGUCUUUUAAACUUUGAAACUUUGGAUCGUGAAAUUCUAACAUAUAUUUUUGCUAUAACUUAUAGUAAAGAUGACAAGUUGUAACAUUCCAAACACAAUUUUAAUUCAAGAUCACGAUGCAUGGCAAAAACAAAGAGUUUUUUUUGGUUUUUCCCAACAAUCCAAACGGUUUUGAUGAGUAAGAAUUCUAAAGUUCACUGGUGAAAGAUUUUUCAUUAACCUUCUUUGAUCUUUCAUCGAAACAAACUUUUUCUGUCUUUCCGAUGACACGUUUUGUUUUUGUGAACAUCAGAUUUUGCAUUUUCAAAGCAACAAUUCGAAAUUUGUUUAUAUAAAUGAUCACCUACUUUAUUAUAUAAACCGCGCCACCAUAAUACGCCAUUUAAACUCUGAACACCAACAAAUAUUUUUACUAUCUUAACUAUCUAAUCAAUUCUGGCCCUGGAGACAAUCAAUAUAAGCAGCUACCCACAACGACAAAAACAACUACUUCAAUAAUCUGGGGCCAUGUUGCUUUAAAUUUUAUUUGGACCAUAUAAAUAAUUCGGGGCCCUUGUAUACUAAAUUUUUAAAUAUGACUUGUUUCUUAACAUCAUGAAAGUUAUAGCGCCACCUACCGUAUUGAGCUACCUAAGGAUGACGGGGUCAGUUGACCCCAUAACUUUUAUAAACUUUGUUUGCAGGCCUAAUUUAUAAUGUUUAAUGGUUGAUUUGUUUAAAACAUGUAAACUGACCCCAUUGUACGAGGUUUAAUUCUUUACCCUUGCACCCGUUUUGAUCAUUUUUUCAACAUAAUCGGUUCUUUUUUUGGUGAGUUUGUGCAUUUGAUAUGCUUAUGCACAAUUUCUAAACGAGUAUUAAACUAAUAAUGUUUAUACAAUUGGUUUUGAUUUUUGUUUUUUUAAUUAAUUGUUUGGUUAUACCUUUUACCAACCCAAAAAAAAACUCGAUUAUCAAUGAACACAACAAUUAACUAUGUUUUUUUGUUUGAACAUUAUAAUUAACUAAUGUUGAUCACUAAACUAUCCAUUUAUAUAUAUUAUUUAUAAUAAGUAAGCAUCUUAUUUCUUGUAGUCCAUUUUGGAAGGAAGGAGAAUGGACAAUUAAUUACUCGAGAAACAAGUAAUUAAUGGUGAGAAGACUGAGAAGGUUUUUCGAUCCACUACGUAGUAAGCAACUCCGAGGAGUUCUCCAUGUCGAUGAUUAGUAUUAUUAAUUGCUUUCAGUUUUAAAUUAUACUUAUAAGAUUUGAAUUUUUUUUUUGAAACCCUUUCAUUUAUUUUGGAAAAUAUCUCUAAAGUUUAUGAGUAUUUAUCAAUUUGAAAAUUUAAAGAAAUUGUAAUUUCGAAUAACUAAAUGAGACUUUUAAUUUAAACUUUAAUUAUAUGAGUUGUAUUUAUACAUGUUUUCUGUUUUAGAGUUUAAAAUAUUUGAUUUUUUUAUCCGCAUCUCACGGAGACCUAAUCUAGUAACUUAUAAAAACAUUACUUCGGUACCUAAAACUGUGUAUAUGUGUAAUAAUUUACCAUUUAUUUAAUGAUAUAACCCUUGAUAAAAUGGUUAAUUUGAUUUGACAAAAAAAAAAAAAGAGGAAAAAGAGAGUGAGUUGCUGUUAGGGAAAAAAAUUGAUGUGGGAUGUGCGAUAUUUCUUCUUUGUCUCGUCCCAUUCCGUCUCGGCCAAGUCAGAUCCGAUCCGCAAAACUCAAAUAUUUUUUAUUUUGUCCAAUCCGAUUUUCUAAGUUUAUACAGUUUAGAGUGAAUUACAUCUUUCAAAUCUACAUAGUGGAGUUAAGACUUAAGACUCAUUAUUGCAUUAACGCAUUUCGACCAACAAAGGAAUUACAUAAACGCAUUAGAAAUAAACCAUCACUAUUAAGAUUAUAUAUAAGAAGUAGAAUUGAAAAUUAAUCAAAAUUUAAUACGUAUAAAUGUAAAAUUUGAUGUCACUGAAGUUAUCUGGAGACGAUUCGUACAUUUAUUUUAAAUCAUGAGCAUAUAUUAAUGUAGAUUUAGAUACUGUUGAAGUUAUUAUGAUGUUUAGAACAUCGCAUGGUCAUUCGAACUAACUCACCAUAAUGUUGUUUCAGAGAUUUUAACUAAGCAAUCGACUCUAAGUAUAAAUCUAAUUUAUAUUCAUGUGAUUUUUAUAUGCUUUGAAAUCAUAUAAUUAGAAAACCAAAAUGCAAGGAAAAAUAAAUAAUAUACUUGACCUUUCGGUGGCUCUGAUGCUUACUUGAACCCUGCCAAGAAUGACCCAACUCCAUCUGAUUAUCAAAAACAAGCUUUUGAUGAUCAAGUCAUCACUACUUUUAUAGAGGCUGCAAAUAAAGGGAAAAUGCUUAGCAGUUACAUGAUAAUAUUUGCGAGAAUAUGAACAAUAUUUUGUUCUGCUUUCGAUUUCAUAGUUCAUCUCUGGUAAAGCUAGAGCUCUUUUGUGAUAUACAUACGAUGCCAAGACUGUGUUCCUACUGUUAAUGCCAAUGUGAUGGGAACGUGACAUGGAUAAUAAAACUUCUUGUUGAUGUUUUUCGUCAAUAAACACCAAAAGCCUCGUUGUGGAUUUACAGUUGAUUUAGUUGAACUCCAAAUAGAAUGCUUCAUGAAAAUACAAGAGACAUUAGCAUAAUAUGGGCCUUUGUAAAUGGGCUUACCGGCCCGCAUUAUAUGAAAAUAGUUUGUUUUAACUUGUGAAAUGAUGGAAUGAUAUCACCAUCUCACAUAUUUGUAUCAAUGUAUCAUCUUAUGUAAUCUUGACGUUUAUUCAUUUUAUCAUUCUAUUAAAUCAGUAGAAAAAAAAAUAUCAAAAUGUGGUCAUUCCAUAUAUUUUUUUAAUGAUUUCUUCUAGUUUCUUUUUUUUUUUUCUCCCAUUUUAUUUAUUUAAGUUUAACAAAUCUAGAUUUAGUAAAUAUUAAAUGGCACACCUUUUUUUGUUUUCUUGCAAGAAUUGUCACACCAUUAGUGUCAGAAGGUAUUUUCAAAAUUGUUUUCCAAUUGAAUUAAUUAUAAAUUCUUAAAAUCAAAUAAAUAAUAAAUUUUUUGAGAGAAAAACACUAAACUUAUAAAUCGUAUGAUCGAAUAGAACUUAAAAUAUAACCGUACAACAUAUUUUGAUUCUUAGAUUUUGCUGGAUGUAGUCCCAAAAUUUCAUAGUCAUCAACAUCGAAAAUAAUAUAUUAGUUUAGAUCAACUUUGAAUAUAUUUGCUAACAGCUACAUUCAUCAUGUUGCAUCUUUUUAAUUUUAGACAGAAAAUAUACUUUGAAUUGAUGCUGAACAAUUUUACAUUUUCAACUUUUUAUAGAGAUUUUUUUUUUCAAACAUGAAUUAAAAUUCUAAAAUGGUACUGUAUUAUUUAGCAUUCAGGCGUUUAGAACUUAGAAGGUCAUUGAUUGUUGGGAUAAAACAAUAAUUUUAUAAAAAGAUUAACAUCAAAAACAAUAAUUAAGAACUAUAAAAGAAAGGGGAAUAUAAAGUAGUGGUUGCCAAAAAGGGAAGACACUCGUUCCCUCAAUCAUUGGACAUGUCACUACUUUCCACAUUUUCGGCUCUAUUAAAUCCCCUCUAGUCUCACCCCCAUUUUCCAUUUUCUUUCUUUAAUCUACUUUGUAAUUCACUGUCAAUGUUAACCCGUAGUUUUUUGGUUUGUUUACCUAGAAAAAAUGACAUUUAUCUCAUCUAUCCUUACUUUUAGGAUUUAUACUUUUAAGUUUUGAACCAGCUCGAAGUACAUGAUUCUUAGUUCGUCUUAAAGUCUUUAGGCGCAUAUAUACAGAUAGCCCGAUAGAAUAGCAUUGGAGGAUGUUCAAGUCUCAAUCAUUUGCCGUAAUAAAUAAAGAUUUAACUUAUUAAAUAGCUUCAGUCUGAAAAUGCUUUUGAUAAUCACAAAUUCUCAAUCCAACACACAAAUGAUGAAUUAAACCUUAUGUUUAUUCCGUUUUGGCCUUAUGAUUUAUUUAUUAAAAAAAAGAAUAAACAACAGACGGAGAAUAAAAUUUAGGACAAAACUCUUUUCAACGCCAUAAUAAAUUGAUUGUUUUAAGGUUGUCAUACGAAUCUGUAAUUUUUUCAGGUUUAUGUCUAAAAGGAGAAAUAAUAGAAAAAGAGAAACCAAUAAUUGCUUAAAAAAAGGCCCCGCGGUAGUCACGUAGCUGAAAUGUUAAAAGUGCGUGAGUUGCAAUUUAAAUAGUAAUAUUAGCGAAUAAAUAAUAAUUACGUAAAAAUUUGCUGCCACGGUGGUCCAGACAUAAUCCACGUGAUGCUCGUUGUGAUAUGAGGAAAGGCCCACCCUGUGCCACGUCAUUAUGCCAGCUGUCUCCAGUUCUUCAUUUCAGGGUCUUUCCCAUGUUGUUGUUGUACAUCCCACUCCCCCGAACUCCGUCGUUUUAAGCCGUCGGAUAUACAAAUCCAACGGUUCGGGAGUUUCAUUAAUGUUCUUCCUUUCUUUUUAUAUGUCGAUGCGUGAAAAGUCCAAAAAGGAGUUUCUCGCCUUUUUUUUCUUAACUCGGAUUCUCUCGUCUUUGUCAACGCAAUUUUUAUUUUUUAUAAACAAAACAAAUGCAGUUUUAGUUAUUUGAUUUUCGAAAAACUAAUCAAUGUACAAGUACAAUACCUCUGUUAUGCAAGAAUCUUUCCACUUCUAUUAUUUGAAAGAGAUAAGCUCAUUGUAGCUAUUUAUUUUUAGUUUUAGAGUUUAAAGUACAUUAGAACGGUUCAUUUUAGAGUGACGUAAGUUUUUUUUUUUAAUAAUUACAAUGACAUAUGUAGAAACGUGUAUCAUUUGCAAUCUCAUUUCAACAAACAAAAAAAUAGCGUGUAUCAUUUGCAAACCCUUUGAUUUUAUAACGAAGAAUUGGCUAUGAUCAAAUUAAUAUAAAGUUGACGAGGGCAUAUAAGCAUAUUAGUAUAUUCUCCUUUUUGUUUAUGCUAAUAUUCCAUUCGCUAAUUGCUUUCUAAUGAUUCUAUUCUCCAAUAUACAGCUUAUAGAGAGGCCAAUGGUCCGUCCGACGACAAGUCGAAUCCAACUUACUUAUGAUACUUCUGAGUUAUGAUGUUCAUCUUGCCUACUUCUUUAUGAUCUGUAAAUUCCAUAUAUCACUGCAAUCAUAUAUAAAUUAUAUUUUCUACUAUCAUUCAUUAUUAUCACGUUCAUGACGCUUGACGACUAUAUUUUAUUUAGAUUAAACAAUAUAGUUGUACGUGUUUUCUCUUACUGUUUUUAGUUUACUUCUAUUACUAUGUCUUUAUUUUACUUUCUCCUACGUAGUAGAUAGAAAUGGCAUAAAAAAUAGUUUCAAAUUAAUUAGAAGAGCCAAUAAUGGGAUUUGUUUUGUUGAAUAGACUUAUACAAUUUAUAUUUUACCCACUUCUGAAACAAAAGUACUGCUUACUAUCUCACAGAGUAUUCCUUUUUCAAGUUUCGUCAGGUUUUGUUUUUGAAUAUGUCUUUAUAUUUUCUGACACCUACAUAAAAUCAUUUUCUUCACCAUAGGCAUAAAUUUAGUAGACUUGACUAACUUAAUCAUACCACAGAAUAUCUUAAAUCAAAGAGAAGGCCCAAAAAUACCCGUCAAUAUCAAUGUGAGUUUGUUGUACACCCGUACACGUUUGAUUAAUCUUCUUCACGCUGUAAGAAAAGUACGAAUGGGUCUUUAAUUAUUUGUCUUAAUAUUAUUUAGUGAAAUUAAGGUGAAAACGAGUUUGACAUGAUUUGUGAAAUAGAAAACUGACAUUCACGAAAAUGCUGAUCACGUUUCUCAUUGACUUCAUGAUACUUGCUUGCUAGCCGUUAACAUCAAACCCCAUUCGGAAAAAAAUCAGUGAGAUGUUUUCCAAAAAAAUAAAAAUAUAUAGUAUAUUUUGCAGAAAUAUUAAAAUUAAAGAAAAAAUUGGAUUAAUUAAAUGAAGUCAUUAGAAAAGAAUGUGGAACGGAAGAUGAAACGAUCAUAUUUUUGUUUGAAUGUUCUCGAUCAGAUUUUGUUUUAACGCUUCCAAUAAUAUGAAAUUAAUCAUUAUUUUGUGUUUCAUUAAUGUUAAGAUCUGUCGUUAUUGAUUUAUUCAAAUUUAAAUUUGUUUUUGUCGUUACCGAUUUGUUUAAUUUUUUUUUUAAACAAUCGAUCUAAUUAAUUUUUGAAUAAAAGUAAGAUAAAAAUUUUUUAUAAAAUGAUACUCUAAAUGCAACAUAGAAGAAAAUUUAUCAAUAUUUCAAACACAACCAUCAUUGAACGUAAUACGCUUAGAGAAGAAUUUAUAUAUUUCAGUUUUUUGCAUUUGUUAAUAUUUUUUUUUGUUUUUCCUCCUUUUCAAAUGAUAUAUAAAUCUACCUUUAAACUAUUUUUAGCUCUUUAUAUUAAUCUUUAAUUAUUUGGAAAUAGAUUCCUUUGUUAUUCAAGAAUUAUAUUUUUCAAACCAUUUUCUAUAUUUUCUUACAUUAUUUGUCUUACAAACAUUAUUUAUACUUAAAUUGAUUUGCGUUUCUGAUUCCCAUUUGUCAAAUUAUUAUUCGUUGCAAAAUAUUAAUAUGUUUUUUUUUGAAUUUAGGUUAUAUUGUUUAUUUGUAAAAAGUUAGUUUUGAUUUAUUUCUGUGUAAAUGAUUUAAGCUCAAAUGGAGUUAAUUUUGUCGGCCAGCUCAUAUGUAGUUGAUUUUUAGUAAGAACUACACAUAAUUUUAAAAUUGGCAACAAUUGGACAUUUUUAUUAAAUUUAAAAUGGUACAAGUUACAAGUAACCCUUUAGUUUCAGCCAAAAAUUUUGCAAGUCAAACUUACCUUUUCGAAAUCGAAUAUUACUAAAGAACCGUUUAUUUAUUUAUUUUGCAAACGACAAAAUUACAAUUACAGAUUUAGGAGAUAUAUAAACGAGCGCCUAAAGUUAAAAACUUUAACACCCAGAAAAAAAAAAAAACUAAAUUUCAUAUUUUUUUUAUAUUUUUGUCGUUAAAUUUUUCUGUGGUUCCGGUCACCGCAGCUCUGUCAUCAUCUCCUCUUUCUGUAUCUUCUUCAUCUACCAAUCUGAAGCCUUCUCAGAUUCUCUUUGAAUUUUCCCGGAAAAUCUCGAUCUGUCGACCGUAUUAGUAAAGGGUGAAUUUAGAAUCGUGUCGUCUAUGUUUGUGUUACAGUUGUAAUUGCAAAGAUUUGUUUUUUUUUGUUCUUUUUGAAUUUUGUGUAGUUUGUGUAUGUGAAGUCAGAUUCAGUUUUCUGUGAGCUGUACAGAUUUUUUGGGGGUUAAAUUGUUCUGUGAUCUAUUUGGGGUUUUGUUCAAUUUUCUGAGAUUUCGUUGUUUGUUAUUGUAUCGGAAGGCCCGACUUUAUCGAGCUCCGGGUUUGAAUAGCUUUUCAAAUGGCGGCGUCAGAGAGAUCGAUAGACCAAGAAGUCGACAUGAGCUCUUCCUUCCUCCAAAAAUUCAGGCUUUACGAGACCCGCUCGGUGAUAAUUCUCAUCUCUCUCUCUCUUUCCAACAUUUCAUUAGGAUUGAUUCUCUUUCUUUAUGUGUAUGUGUUUUGCUGCAUCGCAGAAAUUGAUCUCUUUUCUUUUUGACUUCGUUUGAAUAUGAAUCCGCAGAUUUGCUAAUUCUGAACCAUUUUGUUUUGUGUGCAACAGAGCUUCUAUAUGGUUGGAAGAGAUAAAAACCGAACCUUUUGGAGGGUCCUGAAGUUAGACAGGACAGAGCCAACAGAGCUCAACAUUUACGAAGAUUCGACUGCUUACACAGAAGCUGAAUGCUUCGAAACUUUGAGAAGGAUACACGAAGGAAACAGAUCAUCUGGUGGAUUGAAAUUUGUCACCACUUGCUAUGGGAUCAUUGGUAAUGUGUUAUAGCAUCUUAGGCUUUUAUACUUAGCUCUUUCUUCUUCUUUUUAAGCUUAGUAUUUCUUACUUCUCUGACUGUUUCUUGGUUCAGGAUUCAUAAGGUUCUUGGGGCCUUAUUACAUGCUGAUAAUCACUAAAAGAAGGAAGCUUGGUGAAAUCUGUGGGCACACAGUUUAUGGUGUAGCAAAGAGCAAGAUCAUUACGAUUCCACAUGCAUCUGUGCUAUCCAAUGUGGCUUUUACUAAGGAUGAGAAAAGGUCUUCUUAUGUCACUUCUGCUUGUAAAAUCGAAAAACUGUACCUUGCUACCUUUAUUACAUUUCGAAAUUAUAAAAGUUACUUCUUGUAUUUAGAUUUUUAUGACCUUUCUUCUGUCUUUUUGUUCCCUCUCUUUUUUGAGUCUUUGAUCUGCACGAUAAGAGUGUCACAGGUUUCUCUUAGACAAGUUAACAGUUAUUGAGGUAACUGUGUUUGCAUUUGUUACAGGUUCUUUAUACUUUGUCCGUUGCCUAUUGGAGAUAAUUCAACAGCUUAGAGUUUCAUUAAUACCCUUUCCACUUUGUUUAAUCUUUAGUCAGACAAUUUUUGUUGCACUUUUUUGCUUUUUACUAUUUCUAGGUAUUCUUCUCCAUUGUCUGUACAGUGGACACACUUAUGAUUGUUGUAUUUAUUUUGAUAUAUGUUAUAUGGCAGAGGUACUAUCAAGAAAGGGAGAUCUUAUUUUUUACGUUCUUCUAAUUUCGUUUAAUUUGAUAUAUUUUUAACUUUGAUUUAUCUUUUACCUGCCUUUCUGUUAUAGAUUAUUCACUGAUCCAAGUUCUAACUUAUAUAUCUUGUUUUGUUUCUUUUGUCUUCCCUGGAACUUUAAUAGGUACAAGAGAUUACUCUGUACUGUCGAUCUCACAAAGGACUUCUUCUUCAGCUAUUCCUAUCACAUCAUGCAUUCUCUUCAGAGGAAUCUGUCAAAUAAUGUGGAAAGACACACUUACUAUGAAUCAAUGUUUGUCUGGAACGAAUACUUAACUCGACGGAUUCGAAAUAACGCCAAGGACUGUAUGUGGACAGUUGCCUUGGUGUAUGGAUUUUUCAAGCAGGUAUUACUUGUCUUAAUUUGGUCAUAACGUUUCUAAAACCGUUUAUACCAUUCAGAGAUAUGCUAAUUAAAACGUCACGUUGUCCAUGUUGCUUGAUUUUGUACACUUCUGCCGCAUGAGAGGAGAAUCUAUUGCAAGAAUUAGGAUUAAACCCCACACUAUGUGGAUAACUUGUCAAAUCUUUUGUCUUUUGAUGCACAUUAAAACUUGUUUACCUUUGGAAUGACUUUUUCUUCUGUGUAAUAUGUAGGUUAAACUAGAAGUUUCUGAGAAGAACUUUAGAUUGACACUAAUUGCGCGCCGAUCUCGGCAUUAUGCUGGCACAAGGUACAGUCUCUCCACCUGAGCUUUGUUCUAUUCUGCCAUUUGUUUUGGUUAAGCUGAAUGAGAUUAAAUCUUAGUUGGGUCGUAAUCUACUUUCUUGUUCUCCAGAUAUCUGAAACGUGGUGUGAACGAGAAAGGCAGAGUAGCUAAUGAUGUCGAGACAGAGCAGAUUGUUUUCGAGGAUGCUCAAGAUGGUAAUCCUGUCCGAAUAAGCUCUGUAGUUCAGAACCGGGGUUCGAUUCCUUUGUUCUGGUCUCAGGAGACAUCACGCUUGAAUAUCAAACCUGACAUAAUAUGUAAUCACUUUGUCCUUCAACAUAACUCUAUAAUCUUGUCUAUUUCUUUUCUGCUUUGCUUGUUGCGCUGAUUUUCUCUUUAUCUAUGUAAAGUGUCGGCGAAAGACCCCAACUUCGAGGCAACCAGACUGCAUUUUGAGAAUCUCGCAAGGAGAUAUGGGAAUCCAAUCAUCAUAUUGAACUUGAUAAAGGUUGGUAUAUCCUAACUCAUCCAUGAUGAUACAUAUUUUUGAUAUAUUCUUUUAGGUAAUCUCUAAUUCACUUGAUUGAUAAAAAACAGACGCGUGAAAAGAGGCCAAGGGAGACUAUUCUACGUGCAGAGUUUGCAAAUGCAAUUAGAUUUAUAAACAAAGGGUUAAGCAAGGAGGAUCGUCUAAGGCCUCUUCACUGGGAUUUGCAUAAACACUCCAGAAAGUAUAUGAUGGACACAACCUUUAUAUGCUUCUUUGUUUCCCUCUCUAUUUGCAUUGCAUUUUCAGUAACACUAUAUUAGGUGUUCUGACUUACUGAAAAUGUUGUUUUUUUAUUUUUUUUCCCAUCCAGAAAAGGCACAAACGUGUUGGCAAUUCUCGGCAGGUUGGCUACUUAUGCACUGAACUUGACUGGCAUAUUCUACUGUCAGCUAAGUUUAGAUCCUAGAGCAGAUGGCUUUCAGAACAAGAAUCCAUCCACCUUGGAGUGAGUAUCCAAAUUAGCCAACACUUAGUUACUUUCUAUGUGGUUUCUUGCUUACCAUGUUAUUCAUCUCUCUUGCAUUCCUAGUAACUAGGGCUUGGAUUAAUUUAUAUCCUUUUGGGUUUUAUUGCAGGAACAAUAAUGGUGAAUGUUCUACUUAUGAUCUUCCCAGUAAAGAUGAGACUGCAUCAAAUGUGGCGGUGGAAAGUUGUAAUGAGAGUAAGGAUGCUAAAGAGGAUAAGCAAAAAGAAGCUACGAUGCUGCAGAAAGGAGUCUUGAGGACCAAUUGCAUAGACUGUUUAGAUCGCACCAAUGUUGCUCAAUAUGCCUAUGGGUUGGUAGCAUUUGGACGUCAACUCCAUGCUUUGGGAUUAAGAGAGGCUACUACUAUUGAUCUAGAUAAUCCACUGGCUGAAGAUUUGAUGGGAAUUUAUGAGACAAUGGGAGAUACGCUUGCGCUUCAGUAUGGAGGAUCUGCAGCACACAACAAGGUUUGUUUUCUUAGCUUCUCUGGCCAUAAUAUGUUGCCUUGUUAUUUGAAAACCUGUGGGAAUAAUGAUUAUCCAAAUAAUGUUAUUACUGUGGAAUGACAGAUAUUUUGUGAAAGGCGUGGUCAAUGGAAAGCGACGACUCAGUCACAAGAAUUAUUCAGAACUUUACAACGUUACUACAGUAACGCCUAUAUGGAUGCUGAGAAGCAAGAUGCGAUUAACUUGUAGGCUGCAUUAAGUUUCUCUCUUUGUAUUUCUCUGGUGUGACAAAAUUAUCUGACUUUACUUUUUCAUUUGUAUGCUUGUUCAGGUUCUUGGGAUACUUUCUGCCACAACCAGAUAAGCCAGCGCUAUGGGAAUUGGGUUCUGAUCAGCAUUACAAUGCAGCUAGGUUUCUUGCCAAUUCUGUACCGGAGAAUUCAAGGUACAUUUUCCUGGUUAAACGAGAAACUUGCAGACUAGUUUUGAAUGAUGUUAUAUGUUCAUUAGAGAUACUUACAUUACGUUGUUAUCGGCUUUAGGUCUACGAUGAAACGAUCUCUAUCAGAAAGUAGCAUCAUAAGCGAGAGCAGUACAGCCGGGUUGGGGGCAGUAGCUAGACAUGGUUUAGCUGAAAAGGAUGAAGAAGGUAAAGGUCUUUCAGAUUCAGCUCCUGAGAUCUCAACUUCUGAAACUGCUAAGAUUGCUGCUAGUCUAAGGUAAAAACAACAAAGAAGCUUGUGAUCUUAUGUCAUAUAAAUCAUCUUGAUUGUGUUGUUGUCAGCUAAAUCUGGGGAAUGUCUUUGUGUUUUUUUUUGCAGUGCUCCAUCACCGACAUUGGAGGAAAUAGGUUUAGAAGAGAUUCUUGAAAACGAUUGCUUCUGCUAUGGUGACCAAUGUACAUGUUCAGCUUUUGAUAUGGAUUGGGUUUCUUCUUCAGGAAACUCUUGUGAAGAUGAGAGUUACGGAAGGUAAAACCAAAAAAAAAAAGAAACUUUAUUUGAAUAUAUUUGUGGCUUACCAUUACCAACCAAAUAUGUUAUUCUGAGUCGGACAUAUAUUUCAUUUCAUGCAGAUCCACAGUGGUUAGAUCCUUCGAAACCAUUCCUGAAAGUACAAAAAUAGAGUCAGAGAUAUGUGUUAUUGAAUCAUGUUCCAGCGAUAAUAGAAAGGUGUGAAGAAGAUUAACACGAAGCUGCCAUUGAUACCUCUUAAUACCUUGUUAAUCACCAAACUCAUCUCUCUGUGUUUUUUUUUAUUAUUUACUUUUGACAGAGAGAUGAAGUUACGGUGGAGGAAGAAGUCAUUUCUGGGAUUCCUCUUCCUCAAGGUUAUGUGAGGUGGGUGAUGGAUGGAGACGGACAUUUCUGGUGAGAGAAGAGCUCUACAUUUUGAUUUUUUUCAAAAAAAAAAAAAGGAAAAAAAGAACAUACCUUCUUAGUGCGGAAGAAGAAAGAAAAAGUAUCAGAGCAGAACAUAACUGAAAAAGAAAAAAACUAACCGCCACUAAUUUAUUAAUCGGAUUGGAAGAAAAAAAAGGUGAAAAGGUUAGAGAAAGAGAGAGCCUGAGAAAGGGUAACAAACUUGUAAAUAAUUUACAGAAGACAUGAUGAUGAACAUAACUCAGAUCUUGUUGGAUUUUUUUUUUGUUUUGUUGUUCGACAAUUUUAUUAUAUUCCGGGCUCUGAAUUCGAAUAAAACAGAGGAAGUUCAGUUACUGUCAAUAAAAGUUUCAACGACUCCAAAAGGGUUAAAAUGAGUUAGAACUUAGAACCGAUUGGACUAUCUUAGAUACAUGUACACACACGCACUAAAUCAACACCUAAGCAUUACAACAAGUACAAACAGCUAAGCAUUACUAAGUACCAAGUAGAAUCUUACAAAGUAAUUACAUUACGAGGUAAUUACAAUGAUGUCAAUUUCGAGGGUUUCCGACAAAAAUGGAUGAACAAAAACCGAAUCCUAAUUACUGGCUUAAACUAUUACAUUAGUCAGAAGUGGGUCCCGCGGAUGUAACGCGUUUUAAAGCUAAAAGCACAUCUUCACGAAAAAAACUGACGGUGGACGGUGACGCAAGACCUCCGAGUUUAGACCAAUUUACGAUAAAACCACAUUCCUGAGAACCUUCUGGAGAGAGCCCCACUAAGAAAAUAUCAACAAAUCUGAAAUCUCAGCCGCACUCUUAUGAUUGAUUGUAGUAUGAGUUUCACCAUUAAAAAAAAAACAAAAUAUCAUAUUUAGCCAUCAGCAUUUUUCUACUAAAAACGAUUCCAACUUAUUGGAAAAAUAUAGAAUUAAUCAGAUCCAAUAUCUUAGGAAGUUUAUUACUAGCAUUUUCUUUCUUUUAAAAAAAAAAAUAUUACUAGCAUUUUUCGUUUACUAAUUGUCGUGAAUAUAAAUAAUUUCAACUUUGUGUUUACAAAAAAAAAAAAAAUAACAGUCCGAACUUUUUUGCCAUCGAAUUUGUUAUGUAAUGGACAAGUCAUCCACACUAAAAAUUGUUAUAAGGAACGUCAUUACCAAAUUAAUUGACAAAUAAGUUAUAAGUUGGGGGUAUUUGACCCAAAAAAAGUUAUAAAAGUGGUGGUAACAGAUUUUUUAAAAUUUUUUUUUAACAGAAUUCAUAUUCUUCUAUUAGUAUUUUCUUACUUCGAAAAAGUAUCGAAAGAUAUUAAUUUCGGACAAAUGUAAUUAGUAUUUGUUUGACCGGGAAAAAAAAAAGAAGAAGAAGAAGAUAAUUUAUUAGUUUAUUGAUAUUUAAAUAAAAAACAGGAAAGUGCAGGAAAAAAAUCUAGACAUGUGGAAAGAGGUUCUGGAGAGUUCCAUUCUCACAAACGUAUGUAGGAGAGAUAGAGAGGAGAAAUAAAAAAAACCUGUUUUUCCCCUCUUCUCUCCGAAUUUUUCUUCUUUGAUCGUCCACGAUACCAAUCAAACCCUAAUAUCUCCGUAUUUGUUCGUAUUUAACAACCUAGUUUCGAACCAAUCGAACCACUUUAGUACCGAUACUCGACACAAGCUCUUAUAGAUAUUGGUCUGUUGCUCUGUUUCUGGGAGUUCAAAAUUCGUCGAAUUUACGAGAAAGAAUAGAUUUUUGUUUUGUUUUAACGGGUUUGGCUUCCUGGGUUUGUAAUCUGGAGGAGAAAAGCUAGGUAUGGCGUCGAACAAUAGCGAGAAAAGCAACGAUGAUUUGUAUGCUGUUCUGGGUUUGAAGAAGGAAUGUACGACGACGGAGCUCCGUACUGCUUAUAAGAAGCUUGCUCUAGUGAGUUCUCUUAAUUUUGAUAUCGUAUUUUGUUUAUGGAUGUACAUGACAAUGAAUGUUUUCUGUUUCCUGAUUUGGAGUAUUGCAUGUAAUAGCAAUUUAGUUUUUGGGUUCGAUUCUCAUUAAUCUGUAGUCCAAUCGAUUCUGUGAUUCUUAUUCCUGGUAAAUUUUCGAUUGCGGAUCGAGGGAUCAUGCCUUAGCUGAUAGGGUUUGAUUGAGAUUAUAAGCACUUGUAGAAUCAUUCCUUUUGUCACUGAAAUUUUGAUUUGGGGAACUUUGAUUUUACGUUGGAAAUUAGAGAUGGCAUCCAGAUCGUUGUUCGUCAAUGGGGAAUUCGGAGUUUGUAGAAGAAGCAAAGAGGAAAUUUCAGGCCAUCCAAGAAGCCUACUCUGGUAAUUUCACCAACUUUGCUUCAUCUUUCUCUCAAAGCUCUCGGUCAAUUUUUGAUAUUUUAUGGAACAUAUUGGAGUUGACUAUUGGAUACAGAAGAUCCUCUAUUAUUUCAUUGUUCCUUGAUGUGUGUUUUUUUAGUAUUGGUUAUGUUCCUCUGAUUAAGCUUUUUUUGUUUUCUUUUGGUGCGCACACAGUUCUGUCCGAUUCCAACAAGAGGUUCCUCUAUGAUGUUGGAGCUUAUCACGAUGAUGAUGACCAAAACGUAAAAAGUCCCUUUUUAUUUUUACUUUUUUUGCUUAAAGAUUUUCACUUUCUACCUUUUUCUUCUCCCAUCAUAUGCUUUAAAUCCAGCCAGGGUUACUGAGAACAUUUAUUUCAAAGGGGACAAUGCUCUCGAAAGCAGAGCAUGCCUUGUUUUGUGUUGAAAAUGGAUCGAGUGAUAUGACUUCUUUGUCCUAAAUUCGCUUUAUUCUCUUCCCUCUAUUGUUAUUGAACAUAUGAAUCAUGUUAAUGAUGGAUACUGUUGUUGUGUAGGGAAUGGGAGAUUUCCUGAACGAAAUGGCGUCCAUGAUGAAUCAAUCCAAGCCUAGUGUAAGCAGUCUGCAUUAGUUUCCCAUUAGUUUAUUAGACACCAUUGAUUUCGGCCGAGUUGAUAUUUUCGAGAUGUUGGUUUGCAGGAGAAUAAUUCAGGGGACAGUUUUGAACAGCUACAAGAUCUGUUUAAUGAGAUGUUUCAAGGAGACGUGACAGCAUUCCCAUCAUCAUCAUCAUCAUCUUGUAGUUUUGUAUUCGACAAAAACGAUCAGCGAUCAAGGUCAUCAUUCGAAACAAGUUCAAUGGGUAUUAACAUGAAUAAUCCGUUCGGAUUCGACCCCAGAGCUCAUUCCUUCUCUUUAGGGGUAAAGAAUCAUAAAACCUGGCCACAUUUGAUUUCACUAUCUCUUAAUGAUCCCCGAGAAUGGCGUUGGUUCUUGAGCGUUCCUUUAAUAAUGAAAUGGUUUUUGCUGGUCAAGCAGGUGGAGCAUCAGCAGGAUUUCAAGAAAGGGAAGAACAAUGGCGGGAGAAGAAACAGGAGGAAAAAUGAUGCUCAAUCGGCUGCUCACGAAACGUCGUCGUCCAACAACUAUGGAGUUCCUACUUCAUAGGCAAUUUACCUAAUUUUAUUUCAACUUUGAUGGAUUCUUCUCCGAGUAACAAUGGAUGCUCUUUGUCCAUUUUAAUACUCCCCUCAAUGUUUAUUACUAUUUUUUUUUGUCCUUUGUCUCUACGUUUCUGCUUACCAUUAUUUAUUUCAAAAGUUGGUGGUAACUCUGAUAGCAUUGAAGGAAAUUAGUGGUAUAACAUUGUUAAGUUUCACAAGUGUAUAAAAUUCAUUCUUACUAAAAUUGAAUAGAUGGUAGGAAUUCUGAGACAAAUGCUGCAUUUGCUUCAUUAAGUGAUAUGUGUUUUCUCACAAAUCUAUGUUGAAGUGCACGAACAGAUAUGCGUUUUCUCACAAAUCUAUGUGCUGCACAUAUAUACUAAUAUAACAUUUCUUGUAUGUAGUUCUCUAUCUUAUGCAUGGCAAGAUAGCCUUCUCAUGAUCCUUUUCGGAACUUCACCAUUUCCAUAGAUGAUAUAUACAAAUGUUCAAGUAUAGUACAGAUUUGUUGCUAGAUAGGAUUCAAGUGCUUGUUGUGGAAUCUGUAUAUGUAAAAUUUGAUUCUCAACAUUUAAACUUAACAAAUGAUUUUAAACUUCAUUGUUUUUUGUUUGGUUGAAAAAAGAAUAUAAAUUAGGAAGAAGUUAUAUAUCAGUCCACAAAAAAAGUUAUGUUUCUUAUUUAUCUGAUCUAUUUGAAAUUCAACACAAAUCAUUUAGGUAGGUGCAAUGCAAGAAGCAUAUUACCGUUAUGGUAUUAUUACAAGAGUUUAAACAUGAAUAUUAAAAAGAUGCCUGAAGGAUGAAAUAUUUCAAAAAAGAAACAGGAAAAUCAGAAGAGGUCGUCAUCAUAGUCUUCCUUGAGUGUGAAUUCAGCUGAAUCGAACCGCCAAGGCAGAGGAGUGGAAGGCAUCAUCGUAGAGCCAUGUCUUCGUAUUGGGGAGCGCCAUGGAGUUGAGCUAUUCAGCCAACCAGUCAACUUGGGCGAUGGAAUCUCUUCUGCUUCGUCGUAAGUCAGAUUGUUCUUAGCAUCCAUCUGAAACCAAAAACACACUAGGCAGAGUCAUAAAAAAAAAGUGCCAUUGUAAGGUUCCAAAACUAGAACAAAUGGAUCCAUGGUGUAUGUAAGAUCAGUGACUUAAUAACAAUCUCUCAUAAAUCAAGAGUCAGAGAUACACAUUGAAUCGGAGUCAAGUACCAUUUCUAUGUCAAACUUGAGAUGCUUUUCCUUGAUGCUGGAAUCUGCAUAAAACACACAAAAAAAAUCAAGCUUAGCAAAAGUUGACAAGCAAAGAUUGGUUUUUACCAUCAGAGCUUAAGUAUAUUUACCAUGGUGAAGUAGAAGAAGAUCAGCAUGAUCAUCCCAGAGAUUUUGCUGCUCUUUGAUGCAUUUGCUGUGAUCAUGCAAGAACCUCUCCCCGGCUAUGUUGAUCUCGCUUUUUGCAGAAGCAGAAGAAGCGAUUUGCUUGUUCUUAGAAGAAGCUUUCGGAUGAAUCCCGGACUUGUUUGUAAUAUCAUUCAGAGCCUUACGAGCAGCUCCGGGUUUCUUCUGACCAAGUACAGGUCCUUUGGUUUUUACAGAAGCAGCAGUAACAGACUCUGUAGUAGCAAAAGAGAAAGAAAAAGUCUUGUUUCAAAACAUUCAUCAACAGUUUCAAACAUAUGAUCUAAAGAGAUAGAGAAAGAAUGACUACUUUUGCGAUGAAUCGGAGCGUUCUCGUCAGGGAAAAUCAUCUGUUGAAGAGCGUUCAUGUUCGCCAUAGGUUUCAACCUGUUUACACCAACAAAAGCUUGUCAAUGUUCAUAGACACAAAAUCGGGAACCAUCAAAAGAUCGAAGCAAUAUCAAACAUUUGCGGAUCUGAUUCCAGAAUCAUCAAAAUCAAGCAGUUAAAAGAAAACCCUAAAAUGGGUAGAUUUGAUUCCAGAAACCCAGGAACGAAAUCGAAAACCCAAUUUGAUUCUCUAGUUAAUUCAAGCAACAUAAUCCCGGAAACCCAGAAAACGAGACGGAUCAAAUAGCGACAAACGGGAAAGAAUAACAAAGAAUCGCCAGAUGAACAGUCUAAUCUGAACCUAAAUCACACGAAAGAAAGAUACCUUUCGUAAAAUGGAGUAGUUUCUUGGUGAUAUUCAAGUGGGAGAGAAGAGUCGAAGAGCGCUUUUCUGGAGAUUGUUUAACGGUAACUUUUCAAUGUUGUUCUUUCCUUUUCUUUCUAGUUUCUAGGAAUCAGUUUCUAGAGUCGACGAUUGAAGAAGAGACUCGACAUUAGGCGAAAAAAAUGAAUUUAAACCCCAAAAAGGUUACUAGCCGUUGCAUAAUGUUAAAAAUACGGCCCAAUCAAGAGUUGGCCUAGGCCCAGGCUCAUGAUGUGGAAAGUGGAAACAAACAAAAAAAAUUAUAUUGAAAAUAAGGGAAAUUAUUAUUGAUUAUCAAACUAGCUACGUACAGUAGUUAGAUUUUUGUUUUUGACAGCGUCAAACAAGUUGGAUGAAAAGUCAAACGUGUCACAUCCUAUAAACUCAUUGUCUAAGCGAUCUUCUUAUCGGCUAGAUUUAUCAUCUAUGUUUAAUAAUAUCAUCAUCCUUGAUUAAAUCUCCUUAAUUUUGGAAGGUUAAAUUAAGGUCAGUUCUAUAUAAUUAGUCUAUUCAAACGCUUCUCUUCCCUGAUCUUUAUAUAAAACCACUAUCCUCUCCAAUAAAGAAGAAAAAAAAAAACGUAAGAGACCCCAUUAACAACAAACAAAAACAAAACCCUUUUUAAAAAAAUUUGAUUUGAGAUAUGGGAUUCUUGCACAAGCUUUGGGAUGAGACGGUGGCUGGUCCCGCGCCAGAAAACUGUUUGGGGAAGUUGAAAAAUCACAUUCCCGACGACAGUGUCACAAGAAAUGGUCACCAAAAGUUGAUGGUGAAUCCAGGUCGUGUCUCGGAAUCUCCUGUCGGAUCAAUCAACCCCGGUUCUCCUUUGACUCGUGAGUUACUAUUUUUUCUUUUUUCCCUAAUUAAGCGCAGAAGACUUGAGGUGAUCUUUAUGUACAUAGUCAUGCAUAGUCAUAUAUAUAUAUAUAUGUGCAGCCUGAAGAUAUACUGACUUGUAAUCAUUUAUAUGCAGCUGGGACACCAAGUGAAACGCAUGCCGCAAGUCUCAAUGCAUGCGAUUGGUUUGAUCCCUCUCUGUCUUUUCAUUCUCAUAAUCUCUCUAUCUCUCUCUUUCUUCCAGUUAGUUUAUAUGUUUUAAAAAAUACCCUUAAUUAACAUCCAUAAUAUUGCAGGAUUGUGCUAAACGCAUUAGACCGUUGAGAGAUUAAAAGGAAAACAAAAAUGUACGCUAUGAAUGUUAAUAAGGGAAGAAGUAUCCUAUAAUCCAACUACUUUGUUUUGUAAAUUGUAAUAACAGUGUACAUAAUGUAUAAUGGAUUUAUGUAAAUAGUAAUCGCUUUUUGGAAUGUAUGUUGGUGUUCUUUUGGACACAUAUUUUUCUUCUAGUAUCUUUUAAAGAAGUGUCCGUUUAUUACUGUUGGACACAAAAAAACAAAUGCAUGAUGUGAUCAAAGUAACAUAUGCAAGAAGUAGUGUAAUUAUUUUGGCCUUGUAACCCGUUAAAAGUUAAAACAAUGUAUUGUGGGGAAAGAGAUGAGGGUAUAUGUGUUUUAUUUGCUGUCCACCAAAAAAGAAAAAAGAAAGGCAGAACUUUAUUCGACACAAAUCGAACUCAGAAUCAUAGCCCACAUUGCAUAGACCAGUAGACUAAACAACACUAAUAUAACUAAUCAGCAUAAAAAAUAUCUAUAUAUAAAAAACGAUAAAAACGCACAAAAAAAAUCCCGAUUAAUCCCCGAUUUUUUGGCUAAUUUUUCGGCAGUCUUUACCCUUAACCGGGCCGGCAACUUUACCGGUGACGGAAUGUUACUCUGUCCUACCAAUAACGUCCUUACACGUCGACUCCCCGUAUCGUCUCAGGUUCUUCCACGUGUCCCCCUACUCACCGACGCCGUCUCCUUCCCGUUACCCCCGAACAGAUAUUAAGCCGAACCCUAACCCUAUCUCUUUUCUACGACUUCUGAACCAGAUCCGGCGAAAUCACAUUCAUGGAGGACGAAGAGGAGAUCAGAUCGCACGCUUCGCCGACGGGUUCCGAUUCUCCCGAUCCGUCUUCUUCUCCGCCGGCGGGACGUAUCACGGUUACGGUGGCUUCGACAGGUCCGCCUUCUUAUUCCCUGACACCUCCGGCAUCUUCGUCGCUGAAGGAUCCCGACGCGUUGGCUCUGGCGCUGCUUCCAAUUCAGGCCAGCGGUGGUGUCGGAGGCAGUAGCAGCAACGGUAGACCAAGCGGCGGCGGCGGGAGGGAGGAUUGCUGGAGCGAGAGGGCUACGGCUGUGCUAAUUGAUGCCUGGGGGGAGAGAUACUUGGAGCUUAGCAGAGGUAAUCUGAAACAGAAACACUGGAAAGAGGUGGCGGAGAUCGUGAGCAGCAGGGAGGAUUACGGUAAAAUUGCAAAGACCGAUAUACAGUGCAAAAACAGGAUCGAUACGGUGAAGAAGAAGUAUAAGCAAGAGAAAGUUAGAAUCGCUAAUGGCGGUGGCCGCAGCAGGUGGGUGUUCUUCGACAAACUUGACCGUUUGAUUGGAUCAACGGCGAAGAUCCCGACUGCAGCCCCUGGCACCAGCGGUGGUGGAAGUCCUGGCGGAGGAGGAGGAGGAGGAAGUGGAUUGCAUAAGAUUCCGAUGGGUAUUCCCAUGGGCAGUCGUUCGCAUUUGUACCAUCAGCAAGCAAAGGCUGCAACGCCGCCUUUCAAUAAUCUUGACCGUCUAAUCGGAGCUACGGCUAGGGUUUCAGCUGCUUCGUUUGGCGGCAGUGGCGGAGGAGGAGGAGGAGGAGGAUCCGGCAAUGUACCUAUGGGAAUCCCGGUGAGCAGCCGUUCAAGUCCGUUUGGACAGCAAGGCAGGACGCUGCAACAACAGCAGCAAGGCAGGACGCUGCAACAACAACAGCAAGGGAUGAUGGUGAAAAGGUGCAGCGAGUCGAAACGGUGGCGUUUCAAGAAGAGAAAUGCCUCUGAAUCAGACUCGGAAUCCGAAGCAGCAAUGUCUGAUGAUUCCGGUGACAGUUUACCACCUCCACCUCUGUCCAAGAGGUUGAAGACGGAGGAGAAGAAGAAGCAAGAAGUUGAUGGAGGAGGGAACAAGUGGAGGGAGCUAACUCGUGCGAUCAUGAGAUUCGGCGAAGCUUACGAGCAAACAGAGAAUGCAAAGCUGCAACAGGUGGUCGAGAUGGAGAAAGAGAGGAUGAAGUUCUUGAAGGAGCUCGAGUUGCAGAGAAUGCAGUUUUUCGUGAAGACCCAAUUGGAGAUAUCCCAGCUUAAGCAGUGUGAGAGGAGAAUCGGUAACACUAGUAAUGAUCAUCACAGCUGCAAGAACAACAACAACAUCAAUUCAAUUGUCAACAACAGCAACAACGAUGUCGGUAACUAGAGUUUAGUAAUUCAGGUCGUAAUCUACAUAUUUUUAGAUUUGAGUUUGAAAUUGUUGAAAAAGAAACUUAUCUAGGCUUCAUGAGUGUAUUAAUAUUUUUACCAAAUCUUUGUUAACUUUGGUCACAUGGAACAGAUUUAACUUCACUGGAAAGUCCUGAGAUCAUCCUGCAUAACUUUCUCCGGACUCCUCUGACAUAUUUUAAUGAGGAAUCAUCUGUAGAUAAUUUGUCUUCUGCAGGUUAUUAAACUUUGAGUUAGAAUGUGUGUUCUGUGAGAUGACACUGGUUUAGAACUUGGCCUAGACAUUCUUGAUCGUUUAUACAAUCCAACCGCACCUUUAUUGUGUACGUUUGGUUAUUUUGAUAUUGAAGAUUUGCAUGUGUACCUAAAGACAUAUUAACUCCUUUUUAUAUUAAAAAUUGUUUUAGCUAGAUUUUCUUGCAUCUGAAGCAUCAUUAACGACCCAUGAUUUGUUGUAAAAGUAGAAUGUUAGGCAAAACAACUUUUUGUUUGUGUGUUUAGUUCUUUAUGAUGUUUUCCUUUUUGGCGUUUUUAGAUACAAGAAAACUUGGCAAUCACUUUAGAAUUAAUCUUUUGCACUAACCUAUAAUUACAUUCUAUUCAUGUUUUGUUGCUCGUGUACUUUAUUUUAUUAUUGCUUCUGAUCGAUUUCGUAGGGUAUCAGGUAUUUAUCGGAAAGUACAAUUUGAUACUUGACUAAAAUACCAUAAUUCAAACUUGCAUUAUUUUUAACUUCUUUUUGACGAAUACAAUAAUGAAAACUUCUUCGUUUUAAAUACAAUCCUAAAAUUUGAAUGCUUCUGAAAGUUGUCUUUUUUGUAGAGAAAAGUUCGAUUCAACAAGUAAUGAACCAAGGUGUCCACGUAUUUUCUGAGUGCUAUAGAUUAUUGGCUAACGAUAUUUUGGUAUCAUUGGGACUCCAGCAUGCGUAAUCGAUCUUUUUUUCUCAGUAAAAUUUGAAUGACUAUUUCUCAACAAAAUCAUGUACUCAUGUAGUGGUUACGGUGGAAAUAGUUAAAAUGCUAUGUUGCAAAUACUUAUUAUUUUAACUGGGCAAGAGAAUAUACGCAACAAAAACAUUUGGAAUUUAAGAAUGAAUCGGUAAGAUUUAAAGCAAGGUCUAUGUUAUUUUGUUAGGGGCCAAUUCUCCAUUGGAAUUUAAGAAUUCGGUAGGAUUUAAAGCUAGGUCUAUAUAUUAUUUUGUUAGGGCCAAUUUAGAUAUUUUCCAGCCUUUUUCAUGGGGUCCAUCAUUUUGUUUAAAGUGUCUCCAAAAGUUGGAAUUAGAAUGGUUGGUGUUAAAAUAUGAUUAGUUUUGAGCAGAGUGGAAUAAGUAGUUUAGUAUUUCUUUUUGUCAACAUCUAGUGUUUAGUAAUAUUUGUUUAAAAGUUUUAAAUAUAUGUAUAUAUACGUAUUUGUAUACAGUAUACACACGCAGAUUUUUACUCUUUGAAACAUGGAUGGAAUCGUUAAAAUUUUGGAUCUGAAAGCUAAAGUAUUAAAAAAUACACAAUUGUUCCUCGGCCAAUUUGUGACGGCGACAGCCGCGAGACUAAAAAAAUUUCCUUUAAAGACGAAUUUAUCCCUCUGUUUGUAAGAAAUUUUUAUAAAAGCUUUGUGUAGUUUUUGUCAUCUUUCCCUGUUUAUUAUAAAAACCCUGUAAAAGCCUUACCUAUUAUAUCCAUUUUUGGUCAAAAAAAUACUUUGUAAUUAAUAUCAGAAAGAAAACUAUUAGAAAAAAAAAUUAAUAUAUCCUUACCUAUUAUAUAUAUUUUGAUACACUGGAAAAAUUCAGAGGGUGAAGCCAAUGAAGGGUACCAAUUAAUACUUAAUAUAGAGACAGCCCUAUUUUCGGAAUUUUACAUUUUUCUGCCGACUUUUUUUUAAUUUAAAUUUUCAAAUUUACGCUCUAUUAAUUUUUUUUUUCACGUAUACGCUACUUCACGUCAACAAAAAUGGUGAUUUCUGUCUGAAGAACGCUUUCUCUCUCUAGAUUUUACUUUCUCUCUCUAGAGUAGUUUGACAAAGAGAGUUUACAGCGAAAGGAGAGACAAUGGGUGAGAAUCGAAUCCACCAUCACUCAGAAGUAAAUAAAAUAAGAAGUUGAGUUGAGUUUUCGAGUGAAGCAAAUAAUUCAAUCGCCAUUGCUAGGGUUCUUAAGAAGCUUUGAGAAGAAUUAAUUGAAGAUGCUGAACAUAAAAAGCAGAGAAAGAGACUCGACAAUGAUAGUACCUAUUCGAAUGUGAAUCGGAAAGAGACCGAUUCAUCGGAAAAAGACGAAGAUCUCAUUUGUCUCUACCCGCCGCAGGUAAGGUCUGCUAAUGGCUGAUCCGAGUAGGACUUCACUUGAAUUUUCAAAGUCUUUUCUGAUUGCAAUGGCGUUUUUAUGUCCCUUUCGGAUGUGGGUUUUUUUUUUUUUUUUUUUUUACUUCGGCUUGAAUUUGAAUUCGAAUUCGAACCCUCGGUCUUCCUAGAUUCAACUUUAUUCGGCGUGAAUCAGUUUCCUUUACUGAUUGGAUUUUCAAAUUUCCAUCAUCGGAACCAGAUCUAGCAAUGCGCUUGGUUCUGUAUUCUUGUGAACUCUGGGGUUUCUAUUAUUGUAAUGUGGCCUUAGUUGGGUUAAAUUGCAUCUAAAUAUGGAUAUUUGCUUUGAUGUAUUCACUGAUUCUUCUUUUCUUCGAAUUUUCCAGUGUGGAUCCGUUAGCCAUGUUUCUGUUUUAUUUUCUUUCGCGGAAUUCUGCCGCUUCAAAUUCCUAUAGCAUUUUACGUUUUUAAGAGAUGAGUUUGUGUUUGCUCUUUACUCAGGAUCCUGUGUCUUUUUUUGUCUUUCUUUUUCUUUUGGGUAUGUGAAGGGGAAAGACUGAAGAUUUUGUGCAAAAGGGAGAAGAUGAGACCAGCUAUACCUCUUGACUACGCUGUCUUCCAACUCUCCCCGAAGCGGUCAAGGUGAUGAUAUUAAUGAGUGAUUCUUCUUUGCGUUGUUAGAUUGUUAAUGUUAGAUGGUUUCUUAGAUACUCUGUGUUUUUUUUCUUUCUGGCAGAUGUGAAUUGUUUGUGUCUACUUCGGGGAAUACUGAGAAGCUUGCUUCUGGACUGGUGAAACCAUUUGUUGCUCAUUUGAAAGUUGCUGAAGAGCAGGUUGCACGAGAAGCUCAGUCUAUCAGGCUAGAAGUUGAAAGCAACAAAAAUGCUGGAACUUGGUUUACGAAAGGGACCCUCGAGAGGUUACAUUCCAUUUUUUGAACAAGAAGAUAGUGGAGCUGUGCUCAUGCUAACACUCGAAUUUUCUCGUACCUGCUGGUUUCUAGGUUUGUACGCUUUGUUAGUACCCCAGAGGUUCUGGAAAUGGUAAGCGCAUUGGAUGUGGAAAUGUCUCAGUUGGAGGCCGCUCGAAAAAUAUAUGGCGAGGUACUUCACCUCUUUUAAGGAACCAAAUGCUGUGUUAACUGGAAUGCUUUUACUGAUUUUGAUAAAUAUCUUGCUUUAGGGGACUGGUGAUCAACGACCUGGUGCAAAAGGUAUGCCUACGGAUAACUUGUCUUCUAAUUGUAUAUUAUGUUACGUAUAUCGUCCACGGGGAAUUUUGCAUUGGCUCUUAGGACUUGGUUACACUGACCUUCAAUGAUAAAAUGUUGUGAAGUGAAUUAUGAUGCUGGCAAGUCAUUUCAUGGACGCUAGAAAAGUAUCUUGUAUAGACCAUCAUUGUGCCCCUCCUGAUUACACUCUUAUACUGGCUGAGUUUACACAAUGUACGCCUCCAAAAUUAAUGAGCUACCGCUAGAAAUCUUACUGCCAAAUGUGAGAAAGGCAUCUACAGGCUCACCUUAUGAGUGGCAU
Molecule: long non-coding RNA, 32835 nt
Filed under: Eutrema salsugineum
Lineage: Eukaryota; Viridiplantae; Streptophyta; Magnoliopsida; Brassicales; Brassicaceae
Description: long non-coding RNA (ESAL_LNC001652)
Source: RNAcentral